AAUUGGAUUCUCUUCCUGAUGAUAUUUUUAAUGGGAUGUCUCUACGAAAUUUGUUUUUGAACAAUAAUAGAUUUAGAAAUCUUACUGGAAGACCAUUCAGGGGAAUGAAGACAUCAAGCACUCUUGAUCUAUAUCUUUUCUCAAACCAUAUCGGACACAUUGAAGACAACGUCUUCAAAGAUUUAGGAAACAAAACAACAAUUGCGUUGAGAUGCAGAAGUCUCGUAAAUAUUCCACUAGUCGAAAAGUCUUCACUUGGACAAAU
Exaiptasia diaphana is the source of this 265-nucleotide long non-coding RNA. RefSeq lists it as uncharacterized. The record is from RefSeq and is a predicted model, not a curated record. Lineage: Eukaryota; Metazoa; Cnidaria; Anthozoa; Actiniaria; Aiptasiidae. The transcript is spliced from 4 exons.